Molecule: ribosomal RNA, 468 nt
Filed under: uncultured bacterium
Lineage: Bacteria
Description: partial 16S ribosomal RNA
Rfam family: Bacterial small subunit ribosomal RNA
Source: RNAcentral
GACGAACGCUGGCGGCGUGCUUAACACAUGCAAGUCGAACGGAAAGGCCCUGCUUUUGUGGGGUGCUCGAGUGGCGAACGGGUGAGUAACACGUGAGUAACCUGCCCUUGACUUUGGGAUAACUUCAGGAAACUGGGACUAAUACCGGAUAGGAGCUCCUGCUGCAUGGUGGGGGUUGGAAAGUUUCGGCGGUUGGGGAUGGACUCGCGGCUUAUCAGCUUGUUGGUGGGGUAGUGGCUUACCAAGGCUUUGACGGGUAGCCGGCCUGAGAGGGUGACCGGCCACAUUGGGACUGAGAUACGGCCCAGACUCCUACGGGAGGCAGCAGUGGGGAAUAUUGCACAAUGGGCGGAAGCCUUAUGCAGCAACGCCGCGUGCGGGAUGACGGCCUUCGGGUUGUAAACCGCUUUCGCCUGUGACGAAGCGUGAGUGACGGUAAUGGGUAAAGAAGCACCGGCUAACUACGUG